Molecule: ribosomal RNA, 250 nt
Filed under: uncultured bacterium
Lineage: Bacteria
Description: partial 16S ribosomal RNA
Rfam family: Bacterial small subunit ribosomal RNA
Source: RNAcentral
GUCCACGCCGUAAACGAUGGAUACUAGCUGUUCGGGGCAACCUGAGUGGCUAAGCGAAAGUGAUAAGUAUCCCACCUGGGGAGUACGUUCGCAAGAAUGAAACUCAAAGGAAUUGACGGGGGCCCGCACAAGCGGUGGAGCAUGUGGUUUAAUUCGAUGAUACGCGAGGAACCUUACCAAGGCUUAAAUGUAGAUUGACCGGUUUGGAAACAGAUCUUUCGCAAGACAAUUUACAAGGUGCUGCAUGGUU